CCUACGGGUGGCAGCAGUGGGGGAUAUUGCACAAUGGGGGGAACCCUGAUGCAGCGACGCCGCGUGGGUGAAGGAGCGUUUCGGCGCGUAAAGCCCUAUCGGCAGGGAAGAUGAUGACGGUAUCUGACGAAGAAGCCCCGGCUAACUACGUGCCAGCAGCCGCGGUAAUACGUAGGGGGCAAGCGUUAUCCGGAUUGACUGGGCGUAAAGGGCGCGCAGACGGGAAAGCAAGCCAGGAGUGAAAGCCUGUGGCUGAACCCCGGGACUGCACUUGAAACUGCAAGGCUAGAGUAGAGGAGGGGCAGGCGGAAUUCUUGGUGUAGCGGUGAAAUGCGUAGAGAUUAGGAGGAACACUGGUGGCGAAGGCGGCCUGCUGGACUGUGACUGACGUUGAGGCCCGAAAGCGUGGGGAGCAAACAGGAUUAGAUACCCCAGUAGUC
Molecule: ribosomal RNA, 440 nt
Filed under: uncultured bacterium
Lineage: Bacteria
Description: partial 16S ribosomal RNA
Rfam family: Bacterial small subunit ribosomal RNA
Source: RNAcentral